This is a long non-coding RNA of Oncorhynchus nerka (sockeye salmon), 1225 nucleotides long. RefSeq lists it as uncharacterized. The record is from RefSeq and is a predicted model, not a curated record. The transcript has 2 exons. NCBI's taxonomy places the organism in Eukaryota, Metazoa, Chordata, Actinopteri, Salmoniformes, Salmonidae.
UCCUAAUUGAAAGGCCAGGACCAAGUUUUAGAAAGCAUGUUUUAUGGGAGGCUUGGGGUAAAUUGUAGGUUUCCAUUGGAGGGGCAAACUAGACAGGUGGUUAUGGGGACGAACCCUGUUGACCUGAAGUCACAAUCAGUGGGGGUAUAAAAUCCCCUGGAUUUACACUCUACUCAUUUACCGUGAGUGGGGAAAAUAGUCAUAGACAGACAGGUUACGCUACUCACCUAAUUGAGGCUAAGAAAGAACCUGACAACAUGACUAAAAUGGUGAUCACUUACAUUGGCUUCCUUCUCCUUGCCAUGCAGUUGUCACAAGUCUUCUCACAAAACAUUAGGCGUAGGCCUACAACAAGGUCCCCGGCGAUGACUGUGAACACUACCAAAGUUGACGGUGGCGCACGUUCCAAUAUGACCAAGGUACCCGAUGUUGUCACUACCACCAACCCCACCAUUCCCAAAGGAGCCUGCGUGUCCUUGCAGUCCAGUGCGUUUACGCUGCUCAUUCUCAUGUUGGCGGGUCCGCUCCUACAGGGCCGCUUAUAGAGGGUUCAUCUGCACUAAACACACUGCCACGAAUACAAUCGAUGGAACAGAACACCUUUCUACUGAUGGGAAUGAUUUGGAUCACACCUCCCCAGCUAUUUCAACCCAGUAUAGGUAGGCAUACACUCCCUGCUUACUGGCCCUAUGGUGUGGUCCCCUCAAUGGCAGCAGGCCAUGAGGAUGUACUGAACUCUGCUUUUUGACUCUGUUGGUUCCAGUGUCCAGACAGCAGGCUGUCGUUUUGGACUGUUUUGUAACUUCUGAAGCUAAAUGUUUGCUGUGCCUGGGAAAUCAACUGCAUAUAAUGUUGGUUGAGAUGCAUUCUGUAAUUAAUGUAACCUAUAUUUUGUCUUAUCUCUGGCACUUGAGUCCAAGCUCCAACCUGGGUUUGAACCAGUGACCAUCUGAACACAACUGCCUCUCACUGUUAACCAGCUAGUCACUUCACACCUGUUACACUUGCUAUUUCUACCCCUGAAACUGCAAUGUAUACUUUGUCAAAGGCUUGAUAUACUCUUGUGAUUUGUAGAAUAGUUACAUUUUGUUAAGUUCUCAACUUUUGAUUUUAACUGUUAAGCGGUGAUGUAAUAUGCUUAGAUUUAUUUUGUAUUGCCAGAUUUAAUAAAGCUAUGACAUUUACAAUAAAUAUUCAAUGUUGUACAAUAAAAUGAAUAACACUA